RNAcentral lists this ribosomal RNA (753 nucleotides) under uncultured bacterium. Its description in RNAcentral is "bacterial SSU rRNA". It matches the Rfam family "Bacterial small subunit ribosomal RNA", at positions 392 to 1155 of the family's 1533-position model. The record is from RNAcentral.
UCAUGCCGCGUGAGUGAAGAAGGCCUUCGGGUUGUAAAGCUCUUUUGUCAGGGAAGAAACACCGGCUCUAACACAGUCCGGGAAUGACGGUACCUGAAGAAUAAGCACCGGCUAACUACGUGCCAGCAGCCGCGGUAAUACGUAGGGUGCGAGCGUUAAUCGGAAUUACUGGGCGUAAAGCGUGCGCAGGCGGUUAUACAAGACAGGCGUGAAAUCCCCGGGCUUAACCUGGGAAUAGCGCCUGUGACUGUAUAGCUAGAGUGUGUCAGAGGGGGGUAGAAUUCCACGUGUAGCAGUGAAAUGCGUAGAUAUGUGGAGGAAUACCAAUGGCGAAGGCAGCCCCCUGGGAUAACACUGACGCUCAUGCACGAAAGCGUGGGGAGCAAACAGGAUUAGAUACCCUGGUAGUCCACGCCCUAAACGAUGCUGAUUAGUUGUUCGGGAUUUACAUCCUGAGUAACGUAGCUAACGCGUGAAGUCAGCCGCCUGGGGAGUACGGUCGCAAGAUUAAAACUCAAAGGAAUUGACGGGGACCCGCACAAGCGGUGGAUGAUGUGGAUUCAUUCGAUGCAACGCGAAAAAGCUUAUCUACCCUUGACCUGUCCCUUAACGAAGUGGAGAUCCAUUAGGGCUCGUUAGAGAAGGUGACCAGGUGUUGAUGGUGUCGCAGCUCGUGUCGGAGUGUGGGUAGUCCGCACGAGGCACUGGUUUGUGGCUGGGAGCUCUAGGAGGCGGGACCGGGGGGGGGGAGGA